UAAGUUAGAAAGGGCGCACGGUGGAUGCCUUGACACUAGGAGUCGAUGAAGGACGGGACUAACGCCGAUAUGCUUCGGGGAGCUGUAAGUAAGCUUUGAUCCGAAGAUUUCCGAAUGGGGAAACCCACCAUACGUAAUGGUAUGGUAUCCUUAUCUGAAUACAUAGGAUAAGGAAGACAGACCCAGGGAACUGAAACAUCUAAGUACCUGGAGGAAGAGAAAGCAAAUGCGAUUUCCUGAGUAGCGGCGAGCGAAACGGAACAUAGCCCAAACCAAGAGGCUUGCCUCUUGGGGUUGUAGGACAUUCUAUACGGAGUUACAAAGGAACGAGGUAGACGAAGCGACCUGGAAAGGUCCGUCGUAGAGGGUAACAACCCCGUAGUCGAAACUUCGUUCUCUCUUGAAUGUAUCCUGAGUACGGCGGAACACGUGAAAUUCCGUCGGAAUCUGGGAGGACCAUCUCCCAAGGCUAAAUACUCCCUAGUGAUCGAUAGUGAACCAGUACCGUGAGGGAAAGGUGAAAAGCACCCCGGAAGGGGAGUGAAAGAGAUCCUGAAACCGUGUGCCUACAAAUAGUCAGAGCCCGUUAACGGGUGAUGGCGUGCCUUUUGUAGAAUGAACCGGCGAGUUACGAUCCCGUGCGAGGUUAAGCUGAAGAGGCGGAGCCGCAGCGAAAGCGAGUCUGAAUAGGGCGUUUAGUACGUGGUCGUAGACCCGAAACCAGGUGAUCUACCCAUGUCCAGGGUGAAGUUCUAGGUAACACUGAAUGGAGGCCCGAACCCACGCACGUUGAAAAGUGCGGGGAUGAGGUGUGGGUAGCGGAGAAAUUCCAAUCGAACCUGGAGAUAGCUGGUUCUCCCCGAAAUAGCUUUAGGGCUAGCCUUAAGUGUAAGAGUCUUGGAGGUAGAGCACUGAUUGGACUAGGGGUCCUCAUCGGAUUACCGAAUUCAGUCAAACUCCGAAUGCCAAUGACUUAUCCUUAGGAGUCAGACUGCGAGUGAUAAGAUCCGUAGUCAAAAGGGAAACAGCCCAGACCGCCAGCUAAGGUCCCAAAGUGUGUAUUAAGUGGAAAAGGAUGUGGAGUUGCUUAGACAACUAGGAUGUUGGCUUAGAAGCAGCCACCAUUUAAAGAGUGCGUAAUAGCUCACUAGUCGAGUGACUCUGCGCCGAAAAUGUACCGGGGCUAAAUACACCACCGAAGCUGCGGAUUGAUACCAAUGGUAUCAGUGGUAGGGGAGCGUUCUAAGGACAGUGAAGUCAGACCGGAAGGACUGGUGGAGUGCUUAGAAGUGAGAAUGCCGGUAUGAGUAGCGAAAGACGGGUGAGAAUCCCGUCCACCGAAUGCCUAAGGUUUCCUGAGGAAGGCUCGUCCGCUCAGGGUUAGUCAGGACCUAAGCCGAGGCCGACAGGCGUAGGCGAUGGACAACAGGUUGAUAUUCCUGUACCACCUCUUUAUCGUUUGAGCAAUGGAGGGACGCAGAAGGAUAGAAGAAGCGUGCGAUUGGUUGUGCACGUCCAAGCAGUUAGGCUGAUAAGUAGGCAAAUCCGCUUAUCGUGAAGGCUGAGCUGUGAUGGGGAAGCUCCUUAUGGAGCGAAGUCUUUGAUUCCCCGCUGCCAAGAAAAGCUUCUAGCGAGAUAAAAGGUGCCUGUACCGCAAACCGACACAGGUAGGCGAGGAGAGAAUCCUAAGGUGUGCGAGAGAACUCUGGUUAAGGAACUCGGCAAAAUGACCCCGUAACUUCGGGAGAAGGGGUGCUUUCUUAACGGAAAGCCGCAGUGAAUAGGCCCAAGCGACUGUUUAGCAAAAACACAGCUCUCUGCGAAGCCGUAAGGCGAAGUAUAGGGGGUGACACCUGCCCGGUGCUGGAAGGUUAAGGAGAGGGGUUAGCGUAAGCGAAGCUCUGAACUGAAGCCCCAGUAAACGGCGGCCGUAACUAUAACGGUCCUAAGGUAGCGAAAUUCCUUGUCGGGUAAGUUCCGACCCGCACGAAAGGUGUAACGAUUUGGGCACUGUCUCAACCAGAGACUCGGUGAAAUUAUAGUACCUGUGAAGAUGCAGGUUACCCGCGACAGGACGGAAAGACCCCGUGGAGCUUUACUGUAGCCUGAUAUUGAAUUUUGGUACAGUUUGUACAGGAUAGGCGGGAGCCUUUGAAACCGGAGCGCUAGCUUCGGUGGAGGCGCUGGUGGGAUACCGCCCUGACUGUAUUGAAAUUCUAACCUACGGGUCUUAUCGACCCGGGAGACAGUGUCAGGUGGGCAGUUUGACUGGGGCGGUCGCCUCCUAAAGUGUAACGGAGGCGCCCAAAGGUUCCCUCAGAAUGGUUGGAAAUCAUUCGUAGAGUGCAAAGGCAUAAGGGAGCUUGACUGCGAGACCUACAAGUCGAGCAGGGACGAAAGUCGGGCUUAGUGAUCCGGUGGUUCCGCAUGGAAGGGCCAUCGCUCAACGGAUAAAAGCUACCCCGGGGAUAACAGGCUUAUCUCCCCCAAGAGUCCACAUCGACGGGGAGGUUUGGCACCUCGAUGUCGGCUCAUCGCAUCCUGGGGCUGUAGUCGGUCCCAAGGGUUGGGCUGUUCGCCCAUUAAAGCGGUACGCGAGCUGGGUUCAGAACGUCGUGAGACAGUUCGGUCCCUAUCCGUCGUGGGCGUAGGAAAUUUGAGAGGAGCUGUCCUUAGUACGAGAGGACCGGGAUGGACGCACCGCUGGUGUACCAGUUGUUCUGCCAAGGGCAUAGCUGGGUAGCUAUGUGCGGAAGGGAUAAGUGCUGAAAGCAUCUAAGCAUGAAGCCCCCCUCAAGAUGAGAUUUCCCAUAGCGUAAGCUAGUAAGAUCCCUGAAAGAUGAUCAGGUUGAUAGGUUCGAGGUGGAAGCAUGGUGACAUGUGGAGCUGACGAAUACUAAUAGAUCGAGGACUUAACCA
RNAcentral lists this ribosomal RNA (2919 nucleotides) under Bacillus anthracis (anthrax bacterium). RNAcentral's name for it is "bacterial LSU rRNA". It matches the Rfam family "Bacterial large subunit ribosomal RNA". Lineage: Bacteria; Bacillati; Bacillota; Bacilli; Caryophanales; Bacillaceae. The record is from RNAcentral.